ACGGCCAUCUUAGGCUGAAAUCACCGUAUCCCGUUCGCUCUGCGAAGUUAAGAACCCUGACGCUGAGACCGGGAGGUACCGGGAUCGAUACCCGUCGAGUGC
Molecule: ribosomal RNA, 102 nt
Filed under: Phytophthora ramorum (sudden oak death agent)
Lineage: Eukaryota; Oomycota; Peronosporomycetes; Peronosporales; Peronosporaceae
Description: 8s_rRNA
Source: RNAcentral